CUGAGGCAUGGGUGUGUCCAGAGGUGGCCUAUCAGCUGUGUAAAGACCUUUUAAAAGCAGGCUAGCUGAGCACUGAAGGAGGAAGGCCCAGAGUGGAAGAGGAAUGCUAGAUGGCCAGCGGGACACGACAGCCAGUUGGACAGUGUGAAGGGCGACAGUGGGAGACGCUGCCUGUUAUCGACCGCCGGGCAGAGGCGUACCUCUGCCGGCAUAUAGGAGACGUCGUUCAGGCUGCAGGACUAACGUUAUAAGAGGACCAGCUGUUACUGUGAAUGUCUGUCCUUACAUCAACUGGAUAAACCAGAAAAUUAAUCCAAGAAGUAAUUGAAAAUAACUAAAUGAAAAUAACAUUCAGAAUAAACAAUCAUCUCUACAUGAAA
Molecule: long non-coding RNA, 380 nt
Organism: Oreochromis niloticus (Nile tilapia)
Lineage: Eukaryota; Metazoa; Chordata; Actinopteri; Cichliformes; Cichlidae
Exons: 3
Source: RefSeq, a predicted model, not a curated record